Molecule: ribosomal RNA, 464 nt
Filed under: uncultured bacterium
Lineage: Bacteria
Description: partial 16S ribosomal RNA
Rfam family: Bacterial small subunit ribosomal RNA
Source: RNAcentral
CUACGGGUUGCUGCAGUAAGGAAUAUUGGUCAAUGGGCGAAAGCCUGAACCAGCCAUGCCGCGUGAGUGAAGACGGCCUUCGGGUUGUAAAACUCUUUUCUAAGGGAAGAACCAGCAGGACAGGAAAUGGUCCCGCUCUGACGGUACCUUAGGAAUAAGGAACGGCUAACUCCGUGCCAGCAGCCGCGGUAAUACGGAGGUUCCAAGCGUUGUUCGGAUUUACUGGGCGUAAAGGGAGCGCAGGCGGAAGGGUCAGUCUGAAGUGGAAUCCCGGGGCUCAACCUCGGACGUGCUUUGGAUACUGCCCUUCUUGAGUCCGUGAGAGGAAAGCGGAAUUCAGGGUGUAGCGGUGAAAUGCUUAGAUAUCCUGAGGAACACCAAUGGCGAAAGCAGCUUUCUGGCACGUGACUGACGCUGAGGCUCGAAAGCGUGGGGAGCGAACGGGAUUAGAUACCCUCGUAGUC